Molecule: long non-coding RNA, 343 nt
Filed under: Chinchilla lanigera (long-tailed chinchilla)
Lineage: Eukaryota; Metazoa; Chordata; Mammalia; Rodentia; Chinchillidae
Description: lncRNA (ENSCLAG00000027395.1)
Source: RNAcentral
GCCUCUCUCUUCAGAUCAGUUAGAAAUUCUUUUAUCUUCAGCACACACUACUGCUUCUCUCUUCUUUCCUUAUUCCUCUUCUCAGCUUUUUGUUACAUAAACUGUCAUUAACCUUUUAGGGGCCUUUUGCUUACUUCUCUUUGCUUUUCCCUAUUCUCUCCUGUAUCUAAAAAGUCCAAAGAACCAUUGGAAGAAGAUGAACUCUCCAAGGUGGAUGCUGCAGAGACUCCAACACUGGACCUGAGGAGGGAACAGAGGGGAAUUCCCUUUGUCAGCUCCAGUGACAAAGGAAAGCUUUGACAUGCUCAGCCUGUGGCCUGCCUACCCCGGAAAUGCUUGAGCU